AUUGAACGCUGGCGGAAUGCUUUACACAUGCAAGUCGAGCGGCAGCGCGGCCUUCGGGCUGGCGGCGAGCGGCGAACGGGUGAGUAAUGCAUCGGAACAUGCCCAGUCGUGGGGGAUAACACUUCGAAAGAAGUGCUAAUACCGCAUACGUCCUGAGGGGGAAAGCGGGGGAUCGCAAGACCUCGCGCGAUUGGAGUGGCCGAUGUCAGAUUAGCUAGUUGGUGGGGUAAAGGCCUACCAAGGCGACGAUCUGUAGCUGGUCUGAGAGGGUGAUCAGCCACACUGGGACUGAGACACGGCCCAGACUCCUACGGGAGGCAGCAGUGGGGAAUUUUGGACAAUGGGGGCAACCCUGAUCCAGCCAUUCCGCGUGAGUGAAGAAGGCCUUCGGGUUGUAAAGCGCUUUCGGCAGGAACGAAACGGUGGGCUCUAACAUAGUCCGCUAAUGACGGUACCUGAAGAAGAAGCACCGGCUAACUACGU
Molecule: ribosomal RNA, 483 nt
Filed under: uncultured bacterium
Lineage: Bacteria
Description: partial 16S ribosomal RNA
Rfam family: Bacterial small subunit ribosomal RNA
Source: RNAcentral